AUGAAUUUAUCUAUGCAGUUAAUGGACGUAGUGACAACAUACUUGUAUGGGUCACUCAAAUCGGACAUAUAUAUGAAAGUUCCCGAAGGACUUAAAAUGCCGAAUCCUAAAGCAAAUUGCAACGCAUAUUGUGUAAAAUUACGAAAGUCACUCUAUGGCUUAAAACAGUCGGGUAGAAUGUGGUAUAACCGACUGAGUGAGUUUCUUAUUCAGAAAGGAUACUCAAAUAAUGAUGAUUGCCCUUGUGUAUUUAUAAAGAAAUCCUCAAAUGGAUUUUGCAUCAUCUCAGUGUACGUCGAUGAUCUCAAUAUCAUUGGGAGUACACAUGAUAUAAAAGAAGCACGCAAUCAUUUAAUGACGGAAUUUGAGAUGAAAGAUUUGGGAAAGACCAAAUUUUUCUUAGGCAUACAGCUUGAGCAUCUUCCCUCAGGAAUUUUAGUAUACCAACCUGCUUAUAUUCAAAAGGUUUUGGAAAAAUUCAAUAUGGAUAAAUCAUAUCCGACCAAAACACCCAUGGUUGUCAGAUCCCUUGAUAUGAAUAAAGAUCCUUUUAGACCUCGGGAUGAUGACGAAGAGAUAUUAGGACCUGAGUUCCCGUAUCUCAGUGCUAUUGGUGCGCUAAUGUACCUUGCAAAUUGCACCAGGCCUGAUAUUGCAUUUGCGGUAAAUUUACUAGCUAGACAUAGCGCUGCUCCAACAAAACGUCAUUGGACAGGAGUAAAGAAUAUCUUUAGAUAUUUACAUGGCACAAAAGAUCUUGGCUUAUUCUAUCAGAAAAACCAAGAUAUGACUAUGGUAGGAUAUACUGACGUUGGCUAUCUAUCUGAUCCUCACAAUGCUAGGUCACAGACAGGUUUCGUAUUCUUAUAUGGUGGAACUGCUUUUUCAUGGAAGUCACAAAAACAGACUCUCGUAGCAACUUCCACUAAUCAUUCUGAAAUAAUUGCAUUAUUUGAAGCAUCAAAGGAAUGUGUAUGGCUUCGCAGGAUGAUUAACCACAUUCAAACUUCGUGUGGUAUUGGUUCAUUAGGAUCACCAACUAUUAUUUAUGAAGAUAAUGCAGCUUGCAUUGCUCAAAUGCAAAUGGGUUAUAUUAAAAGUAAUAUUACAAAACAUAUUUCUCCUAAAUUGUUCUUUCCACAUUCAUUACAGAAAGAUGGAGAAAUUGAUAUUUUGCAAACCAAAUCAUGUGAUAAUCUAGCAGAUUUGUUCACAAAGUCUUUACCAAAUUCAACAUUCUAG
This 1242-nucleotide ribosomal RNA is filed under the name Triticum aestivum (bread wheat). RNAcentral describes it as "partial small subunit ribosomal RNA". Lineage: Eukaryota; Viridiplantae; Streptophyta; Magnoliopsida; Poales; Poaceae. The record is from RNAcentral.